RNAcentral lists this ribosomal RNA (608 nucleotides) under uncultured bacterium. RNAcentral describes it as "bacterial SSU rRNA". The stretch from base 1 to 517 matches the Rfam family "Bacterial small subunit ribosomal RNA", at positions 338 to 873 of the family's 1533-position model. The record is from RNAcentral.
CCUACGGGAGGCAGCAGUGGGGAAUCUUGCACAAUGGGCGAAAGCCUGAUGCAGCAACGCCGCGUGCGGGAAGAAGGCCCUAGGGUUGUAAACCGCUUUCAGUAGGGAAGAAAAUGACGGUACCUACAGAAGAAGGUGCGGCCAACUACGUGCCGGCAGCCGCGGUGACACGUAGGCACCAAGCGUUAUCCGGAUUUAUUGGGCGUAAAGAGCUCGUAGGCGGUUCGGUAAGUCGGGUGUGAAAACUCUGGGCUCAACCCAGAGAGGCCACCCGAUACUGCUGUGACUAGAGUGCGGUAGGGGAGCGGGGAAUUCCUGGUGUAGCGGUGAAAUGCACAGAUAUCAGGAGGAACACCAGCGGCGAAGGCGCCGCUCUGGGCCGUAACUGACGCUGAGGAGCGAAAGCAUGGGUAGCAAACAGGAUUAGAUACCCUGGUAGUCCAUGCCGUAAACGUUGGGCACUAGGUGUGGGUCUCAACCAACGAGANCGCGCCGUCGCUACGCAUAGUCGCCCGCCGUCGGGAGGUACGGUCGCGAGAACGUAAACGUACGAAAGGAAGUAGUAACGGUCGUGAGACGUGCCGAACGGACGACGACGAGGGAGGAGG